UUGAAGAAUAGAGUGCGCUUCAUUGCGGCUCGCCUUCAUAUCCACUCACCCUGUGAACUGUAAUACUUUUUUACAUUAUACUCUACUAGUUGAAGAAUGUACCUUUUAUAAAUUAAAUA
Molecule: unclassified non-coding RNA, 119 nt
Filed under: uncultured Pucciniomycetes
Lineage: Eukaryota; Fungi; Basidiomycota; Pucciniomycetes
Description: sequence contains ITS1
Source: RNAcentral